ACUCCUACGGGAGGCAGCAGUAGGGAAUCUUCCACAAUGGGCGCAAGCCUGAUGGAGCAACACCGCGUGAGUGAAGAAGGGUUUCGGCUCGUAAAGCUCUGUUGUUAAAGAAGAACACGUAUGAGAGUAACUGUUCAUACGUUGACGGUAUUUAACCAGAAAGUCACGGCUAACUACGUGCCAGCAGCCGCGGUAAUACGUAGGUGGCAAGCGUUAUCCGGAUUUAUUGGGCGUAAAGAGAGUGCAGGCGGUUUUCUAAGUCUGAUGUGAAAGCCUUCGGCUUAACCGGAGAAGUGCAUCGGAAACUGGAUAACUUGAGUGCAGAAGAGGGUAGUGGAACUCCAUGUGUAGCGGUGGAAUGCGUAGAUAUAUGGAAGAACACCAGUGGCGAAGGCGGCUACCUGGUCUGCAACUGACGCUGAGACUCGAAAGCAUGGGUAGCGAACAGGAUUAGAUACCCUGGUAGCUCGAUG
This 473-nucleotide ribosomal RNA is filed under the name uncultured bacterium. Its description in RNAcentral is "bacterial SSU rRNA". It matches the Rfam family "Bacterial small subunit ribosomal RNA", at positions 335 to 799 of the family's 1533-position model. The record is from RNAcentral.